GAUGGGUUGCUGCUGGCUCUCUCGGGAGCAUGUGCACACUUGUCAUCUUUAUAUCUCCACCUGUGCACCUUUUGUAGAUCUGGAUAUCUUUCUGAAUGCCUGGCAUUCAGGUUUGAGAAUUGACUUUUUGUCUUUCCUUACAUUUCCAGGCCUAUGUUUUCUUCAUAUACACCAUUAUGUUAUAGAAUGUAAUGAAAGGCCUUUGUGCCUACAAACUUUAUACAACUUUCAGCAACGGAUCUCUUGGCUCUCGCAUCGAUGAAGAACGCAGCGAAAUGCGAUAAGUAAUGUGAAUUGCAGAAUUCAGUGAAUCAUCGAAUCUUUGAACGCACCUUGCGCUCCUUGGUAUUCCGAGGAGCAUGCCUGUUUGAGUGUCAUUAAUAUAUCAACCUCCUCAGGUUUUUACUUGUCGAGUGUUUGGAUGUGGGGGUUUCUUUUGCUGGUCUCUUUGAGGUCGGCUCCCCUAAAAUGCAUUAGCGGAACAAUUUGUUGACCCGUUCAUUGGUGUGAUAAUAUCUACGCUUUUGACGUGAAACAGGUUCAGCUUCUAACAGUCCAUUGACUUGGACAAUUUUUCAUUAAUGUGACCUCAAAUCAGGUAGGACUACCCGCUGAACUUAAGCAUAUCAAUAAGCGGAGGAAAAGAAACUAACAAGGAUUCCCCUAGUAACUGCGAGUGAAGCGGGAAAAGCUCAAAUUUAAAAUCUGGCAGUCUUUGGCUGUCCGAGUUGUAAUCUAGAGAAGUGUUAUCCGCGCUGGACCGUGUACAAGUCUCCUGGAAUGGAGCGUCAUAGAGGGUGAGAAUCCCGUCUUUGACACGGACU
RNAcentral lists this ribosomal RNA (824 nucleotides) under uncultured Cortinarius. RNAcentral's name for it is "eukaryotic LSU rRNA". The stretch from base 585 to 824 matches the Rfam family "Eukaryotic large subunit ribosomal RNA", at positions 1 to 236 of the family's 3401-position model. The record is from RNAcentral. Lineage: Eukaryota; Fungi; Basidiomycota; Agaricomycetes; Agaricales; Cortinariaceae.